Molecule: ribosomal RNA, 497 nt
Filed under: uncultured bacterium
Lineage: Bacteria
Description: partial 16S ribosomal RNA
Rfam family: Bacterial small subunit ribosomal RNA
Source: RNAcentral
GAUGAACGCUGGCGGCGUGCCUAAUACAUGCAAGUCGAGUGAACGGACGAGAAGCUUGCUUCUCUGAUGUUAGCGGCGGACGGGUGAGUAACACGUGGAUAACCUACCUAUAAGACUGGGAUAACUUCGGGAAACCGGAGCUAAUACCGGAUGAUAUUUUGAACCGCAUGGUUCAAAAGUGAAAGACGGUCUUGCUGUCACUUAUAGAUGGAUCCGCGCUGCAUUAGCUAGUUGGUAAGGUAACGGCUUACCAAGGCAACGAUGCAUAGCCGACCUGAGAGAGUGAUCGGCCACACUGGAGCUGAGACACGGUCCAGACUCCUACGGGAGGCAGCAGUAGGGAAUCUUCCGCAAAGGGCGAAAGCCUGACGGAGCAACGCCGCGUGAGUGAUGAAGGUCUUCGGAUCGUAAAACUCUGUUAUUAGGGAAGAACAUAUGUGUAAGUAACUGUGCACAUCUUGACGGUACCUAAUCAGAAAGCCACGGCUAACUACGUG